GUGUUUGUAGCUCAGUUGGAUAGAGCAACGGCCUUCUAAGCCGUGGGUCGGGGGUUCGAAUCCCUCCAAACACG
RNAcentral lists this transfer RNA (74 nucleotides) under Lacrimispora saccharolytica. RNAcentral describes it as "tRNA-Arg". It matches the Rfam family "tRNA". Rfam says of the family: Transfer RNA (tRNA) molecules are approximately 80 nucleotides in length. The record is from RNAcentral. RNAcentral also lists the same sequence under 4 other names. Lineage: Bacteria; Bacillati; Bacillota; Clostridia; Lachnospirales; Lachnospiraceae.